AAGACCUUGUGCUUUUGGAGCGGCCGAUGCCUGAUUAGCUAGUUGGUAGGGUAAAGGCUUACCAAGGCUACGAUCAGUAGUUGGUCUGAGAGGACGACCAGCCACACUGGGACUGAGACACGGCCCAGACUCCUACGGGAGGCAGCAGUGGGGAAUUUUGGACAAUGGGCGAAAGCCUGAUCCAGCAAUGCCGCGUGAGUGAAGAAGGCCUUCGGGUUGUAAAGCUCUUUCAGUCGAGAAGAAAAAGUUGUGACUAAUAAUCACAAUUUAUGACGGUACCGACAGAAGAAGCACCGGCUAACUACGUGCCAGCAGCCGCGGUAAUACGUAGGGUGCAAGCGUUAAUCGGAAUUACUGGGCGUAAAGGGUGCGCAGGCGGCUCUGUAAGUCAGAUGUGAAAUCCCCGGGCUUAACCUGGGGAUU
RNAcentral lists this ribosomal RNA (423 nucleotides) under uncultured bacterium. RNAcentral's name for it is "bacterial SSU rRNA". It matches the Rfam family "Bacterial small subunit ribosomal RNA", at positions 202 to 622 of the family's 1533-position model. The record is from RNAcentral.